AUUGAACGCUGGCGGCAUGCCUUACACAUGCAAGUCGAACGGCAGCACGGGGGCAACCCUGGUGGCGAGUGGCGAACGGGUGAGUAAUACAUCGGAACGUGUCCUCUUGUGGGAGAUAACCAGUCGAAAGAUUGGCUAAUACCGCAUGAGAUCGCAAGAUGAAAGCGGGGGACCGCAAGGCCUCGCGCGAGAGGAGCGGCCGAUGUCGGAUUAGCAGUUGGUGGGGUAAAAGCCUACCAAGGCGACGAUCCGUAGCUGGUCUGAGAGGACGACCAGCCACACUGGGACUGAGACACGGCCCAGACUCCUACGGGAGGCAGCAGUGGGGAAUUUUGGACAAUGGGCGCAAGCCUGAUCCAGCCAUGCCGCGUGUGUGAAGAAGGCCUGGUUGUAAG
RNAcentral lists this ribosomal RNA (395 nucleotides) under uncultured bacterium. Its description in RNAcentral is "bacterial SSU rRNA". It matches the Rfam family "Bacterial small subunit ribosomal RNA", at positions 29 to 429 of the family's 1533-position model. The record is from RNAcentral.